Molecule: long non-coding RNA, 333 nt
Organism: Haliotis rubra (blacklip abalone)
Lineage: Eukaryota; Metazoa; Mollusca; Gastropoda; Lepetellida; Haliotidae
Exons: 2
Source: RefSeq, a predicted model, not a curated record
ACUGCAGAGAGGGCUAGGCAGUAGGGUAAAUAAUGUGCUUCAGGUACUGUGAGACAGACUAGUUUUCAGACAGCAGUGUGUUCUCGCACUAUAACGAGGCGGGUUGACUCACACAGGAUAAAUAAAAUCUCGGAUGAUUUCAUGUUCCUGUGGGUUCUUCAGGGUCAGAGCGAAGAUCUCGGGGUCUCCAGCGAAGUUCCCCGCUUUGUUGCUAUAGUAAUCCCGGAGUGCCUGCAUAUCAACAUGUAAGCGGGUCGUUCUGUGUUGGAGUUGUUUCGGCAUUCCGAUGUUGAAGUCAAUGUCUGGAGAUGUAAACAAAUACAAAACUAAACC